AAAUGCACCAAAAUUAGGCAGAUGUUGAUAAACAGUGAAGAGAAUUCAAUAAAUAACAAUGUAUUUAUUGACUACUAACAAAUUAUGUAUUAAAAAAAAAAACAUAUUUGAAGAGAGAAAAUAAAUAAACAUCAAUAAAAAAUAAAAUACCAAAGUACAUCUUGCGUUACAAAGUGUAAAAAGUCCACAUCUCUGACUUCAUUCUGUGUCUUUCUUUCAGGAGAAACAUCUGAGGAGCAGGUGACGUCCUCAACCAGAAACAACUGAUUUGUGAUUUUAUUUUCAGGAUGCUCUUGGCCUUCUCCCGGAGGAUUGUGGGUAGAUUGCCGACGAUCCCGAGAAGAAGCGAGCGAAGUGAGACCCUUCAAACUUUCUUUGCCAUUCCUCAAUUCUGUUUUCCCCCAAACAAAGAUUUAUACAUAUUUAUAUGAGCCGAUUGACGGGAAGGUGGUCCGGAGGAGGGGAGCAGAAGCGGCGGAACUGCAGAGAAUCGUCCUUCAGCGACUGUCCCGCUCAGUUUGUUUGGAGUCGAACUGUCGCCCAUCUCACGCUGUGAGUGAGUGUGUCUUUCCAAUUUUCAUCAUGUGA
Cyprinus carpio (common carp) is the source of this 588-nucleotide long non-coding RNA. NCBI's taxonomy places the organism in Eukaryota, Metazoa, Chordata, Actinopteri, Cypriniformes, Cyprinidae. The record is from Ensembl.